This is a long non-coding RNA of Clarias gariepinus (North African catfish), 1658 nucleotides long. RefSeq lists it as uncharacterized. The record is from RefSeq and is a predicted model, not a curated record. Lineage: Eukaryota; Metazoa; Chordata; Actinopteri; Siluriformes; Clariidae. The transcript has 2 exons.
UGGGCAUCUACCAUUUACAUUGUAACCAAGCGUAUGAGAGACCUACUGGUGUACUCUGUUAAACCUGACGGUGCUGACGAGCCAGUACGGGCGUUACACCGCGAUCACUUGCUUCCUUGUGGAUUUCUUGCUGAAGUGGAAGUGCCAGAGAAUAUAGUUGCUCCAGCUAGAAAACCGAGGACAAGGCAAGAAUGUGUUCAAUCCGAGAGACCUGAUUCAGAAGAUGAGGAAGAUUACUGGCAGAAUGUUUGCAUCACACAAACUCUUCCAAGAUGGGAGACAGUAGUGUCACGUGAAGUAUCCAGGAAACAAACUGUCCCAAAUCAGCCUGUUGGGAAGAAUGAGCUGGAAAGGAUUUCACUCCAGUCUUCGCCAGGGUUAAGUACAAAGGAACAACCUCUUCCAGACAAAACGGUUGAGGAAGAUCUGUGUGAUGAUACUAUAAAUGCAAAUCAAAUUAAUGAUGAAGCUGAAUAUUUAAGUAACUCACCUUCAGUCAGAAUUGAUCAGGAAGAUUUUCAUGAGACAUCUGUGAGUAAAAGAGCCGAAGACUCACCUGAAUUUUCAGUUGAGCCGGAUAGGCCAGCACAAGACAGUCCACUGGACACUAGGAUUGACGAACAAACCUGUUGUGCUGAGAUCCCUCUAAAUGAAUCAAGUGAAUGUUCUGUGCGCAGAUCUGAAAGAAUUCGUAGACGCCCAGGAUUGUUUCAUUACCCAACAUUAGGGAAACCUAUAAUUUCAUUUGCACAGACUUUGCUAGAAGGUUUUCAUCAAGCCGUAAUCGACACCUUGAUGGAUACACAUGAUGUUGCCCUAAAGAAUCCGAUGAUCUCACACUGUGAUGUUGUUUAAGGAACAUGAAGGGACUCAUGUUAUUUCAGAGGGGGAGGAUGUAACCCCCAUAAGAGUUCAGUUCUCAUAGCAAUGUAAUUAUUAUAAUUAAUAAUGUAGAUAUAUUAUUAUAUAAAAUUAUUGUGGUUUCGUAUUAUAACAUAACUUUCUUGAAAUUGGAAAUCUGCCUAACAAUAGCUGAGCAGUCCUGUAUAGAUAAUGGUGAUUGGCUAAAUAUUUCAAGCUCCGCCCCCAGCCCAAAAUAGACUGUGUCUGCAAGCGUGCAGCGGGAGAUUGUAAUGGAGAUUGUCAGCUAGUAUUAGAGAACUAUUAAACUGAAUAAACUUAGUCAAAUUGUUGUUGCUAGUGUGCAAAAUUAGGAAAAAUAGGAGCUUAUGCAUCAGGAAGCGGUGCCAAAGUAUUGUUAAUUGUAUUUUUGUUGGUUUGGGAUUGGAAAACAUUUAUUGAAUCUCGGCCAGGUUUUUGGUUCAUUAGAAUUCCUGUACUGGAUAGAAGAUGGCGAGCCACCCAGCUUGAAUUGGUGACCUUCGAUUGGUUUGUGCAGAACGUCCUUACACCCAGUAUUCGGUAGGACUGUACAAUUACGACCUAUGGAAUUAUUUUUUCUUGGAACUUAAUUUACUUGGAAUUUGAAGGAACUUGUGAAUUGGAACUGAUCUGAGCUCAGCAACGUGAACUGAAUGGACAGAACUGGUGAUCCUUAAUUCACCUAGUAAUACACCUAUACUGAUAAAACACACACACCUGUUAUUGUUAUUGAUUUCUAUGUUUUGUUGUUCAAAUAAUACAAGUGUUAUUUUGUA